This 381-nucleotide ribosomal RNA is filed under the name uncultured eukaryote. RNAcentral's name for it is "partial 18S ribosomal RNA". It matches the Rfam family "Eukaryotic small subunit ribosomal RNA", at positions 592 to 976 of the family's 1831-position model. The record is from RNAcentral.
CAAUAGCGUAUAUUAAAGCUGUUGCGGUUAAAAAGCUCGUAGUUGGAUUUCUGUCAAGGACAGCUGGUCCGCCCUCCGGGUGAGCACAUAGUUUGGUCUUGGCAUCUUGCUGGAAACUGUUGCUGCACUUGGCUGUGUGGCGCAGCGUCCAGCACUUUCACUUUGAGGAAAUUGGAGUGUUUCAAGCAGGCACAUGCCUUUGGACACAGUAGCAUGGAAUAAUUAGAUUGGGCUUUUGCUCCAAUUUGUCGGUUUCUGGAGCUGAGGUGAGAAUUAAUGGGGAUUGUUGGGGGCAUCCGAAUUUAGCCGUCAGAGGUGAAAUUCUUGGAUCUGCUAAAGACGGACAACUGCGAAAGCGUUUGCCCAGGAUGUUUUCAUUGA